RNAcentral lists this ribosomal RNA (492 nucleotides) under uncultured bacterium. Its description in RNAcentral is "partial 16S ribosomal RNA". It matches the Rfam family "Bacterial small subunit ribosomal RNA", at positions 29 to 507 of the family's 1533-position model. The record is from RNAcentral.
AGUGAACGCUGGCGGUAGGCCUAACACAUGCAAGUCGAACGGCAGCACAGUAAGAGCUUGCUCUUACGGGUGGCGAGUGGCGGACGGGUGAGGAAUACAUCGGAAUCUACUUUUUCGUGGGGGAUAACGUAGGGAAACUUACGCUAAUACCGCAUACGACCUACGGGUGAAAGCAGGGGAUCUUCGGACCUUGCGCGAUUGAAUGAGCCGAUGUCGGAUUAGCUAGUUGGCGGGGUAAAGGCCCACCAAGGCGACGAUCCGUAGCUGGUCUGAGAGGAUGAUCGGCCACCCUGGAGCUGAGACACGGUCCAGACUCCUACGGGAGGCAGCAGUGGGGAAUGUUGGACAAUGGGCGCAAGCCUGAUCCAGCCAUACCGCGUGGGUGAAGAAGGCCUUCGGGUUGUAAAGCCCUUUUGUUGGGAAAGAAAAGCAGCAGGUUAAUACCCCGCUGUUCUGACGGUACCCAAAGAAUAAGCACCGGCUAACUUCGUG